GACGAACGCUGGCGGCGUGCUUAACACAUGCAAGUCGAACGGAGCACCCUUGACUGAGGUUUCGGCCAAAUGAUAGGAAUGCUUAGUGGCGGACUGGUGAGUAACGCGUGAGGAACCUGCCUUCCAGAGGGGGACAACAGUUGGAAACGACUGCUAAUACCGCAUGACGCAUGACCGGGGCAUCCCGGGCAUGUCAAAGAUUUUAUCGCUGGAAGAUGGCCUCGCGUCUGAUUAGCUAGAUGGUGGGGUAACGGCCCACCAUGGCGACGAUCAGUAGCCGGACUGAGAGGUUGACCGGCCACAUUGGGACUGAGAUACGGCCCAGACUCCUACGGGAGGCAGCAGUGGGGAAUAUUGGGCAAUGGACGCAAGUCUGACCCAGCAACGCCGCGUGAAGGAAGAAGGCUUUCGGGUUGUAAACUUCUUUUGUCAGGGAAGAGUAGAAGACGGUACCUGACGAA
This 461-nucleotide ribosomal RNA is filed under the name uncultured bacterium. Its description in RNAcentral is "bacterial SSU rRNA". It matches the Rfam family "Bacterial small subunit ribosomal RNA", at positions 28 to 486 of the family's 1533-position model. The record is from RNAcentral.